UGGGGAAUUUUGGACAAUGGGCGAAAGCCUGAUCCAGCCAUGCCGCGUGAGUGAAGAAGGCCUUCGGGUUGUAAAGCUCUUUUAGUCGGAAAGAAAGAGUUGCAAUGAAUAAUUGUGAUUUAUGACGGUACCGACAGAAAAAGCACCGGCUAACUACGUGCCAGCAGCCGCGGUAAUACGUAGGGUGCGAGCGUUAAUCGGAAUUACUGGGCGUAAAGGGUGCGCAGGCGGUCUUGCAAGUCAGAUGUGAAAGCCCCGGGCUUAGCCUGGGAAUUGCGUUUGAAACUACAAGGCUAGAGUGCAGCAGAGGGGAGUGGAAUUCCAUGUGUAGCAGUGAAAUGCGUAGAGAUGUGGAAGAACACCGAUGGCGAAGGCAGCUCCCUGGGUUGACACUGACGCUCAUGCACGAAAGCGUGGGGAGCAAACA
This 427-nucleotide ribosomal RNA is filed under the name uncultured beta proteobacterium. RNAcentral's name for it is "bacterial SSU rRNA". It matches the Rfam family "Bacterial small subunit ribosomal RNA", at positions 355 to 774 of the family's 1533-position model. The record is from RNAcentral. Lineage: Bacteria; Pseudomonadati; Pseudomonadota; Betaproteobacteria.